This 2646-nucleotide long non-coding RNA is filed under the name Anas platyrhynchos platyrhynchos (common mallard). Its description in RNAcentral is "lncRNA (ENSAPLG00000021397.1)". Lineage: Eukaryota; Metazoa; Chordata; Aves; Anseriformes; Anatidae. The record is from RNAcentral.
AGAUCCCCCUGAGCCUCCUCUUCUCUGAGUUGAAAGCCUUUCCUCUCAGGGGAGGUGCUCCAGUCCCCUCAUCACCUUCAUGGCCAUUUGUUGGAUUGUCUCCAGUAUGUCCAUAUCUCUCCUCUACUGGGGAGCCCAGAACCAGACACACUUCUCCAGGUGUGUCUCACCACUGCUGAGGAAAGGAGAGGAAUCACCUCCCUAAGCUGCUGCCAGUGCUUUGCCUGAUGCAGCCCAGGACACCGUCAGUCUUCUUGCAGCAAGGGCAAAUGAGGAAUGGGGACAGUAAAAACGGAUUGAAAGACCACACAUUUGUGCUGUGUUCCCCACUCUGGACAUCUGCAAUAAAACACCAAAUUAAAAAAAUUACCGUGUCAUGCUUUGCUCAUUGCUGUCAUGGCUAAUGUUUCUCAAUUUUUAUUAAUACCUUUUCAAUGGCUAGUUUUUCUGAGUGUACACCACAGACAUGCAAAACUGGGCAAGUAACAGAACUCUGGAGAAAUUAUGCCAACAUAAUGCCAGCCAGAAGCAGAAAAAAACACCGCCUUUCAAUCCAAUCACAAUUAGAAGACCAAAUAUUUGGUAUUACAAAACCACAUGCUAAAUCGUCGUGUAGGUUUUGAUGCUUCAGCCACUCCAAGCUGCCUCUGACCCCAACUGCCCUCAGAAAUCCUGACCACCCCCAUUUGCAGGCUGAUAUCUGUCUGGUCUAUCAUCCAUCCAUCCAUCCGUCCGUCUGUCAGUCCGUCCAUCCAUCCACCAAGGGAGGUGCCUGAUGCCCAAGAUUGGGAGUGCUCUGGUGGGCCCAGUGGCCCUGCUUAGGCCUGGGGUAGUGGUGGGACAGGCCUGGCUGCCAGGACCUGCCCUGAUGGCCCAUGUAGCCCUGCUACCCCUGUCCCCAGGGGAACCACUGGCCCUAGAGGUGCCCUGUCAUCAUGUCACCUGCACAACUGCUACCACAGAGGCCCCAGGAGCAAGCUCGGUGGGACCAGAGACCAGAAACCCCUCCGCAGCAGAGCACAAGCUUUCUCACCAUAGCAUUUCACAGUGCUGCAAACCGAUUCCUUCAUCCUGCUCCCUUGAAGCUGGUCACCUGCAAGCCUGACUCACAGCAGGGCUCAGCUGUGAGCUGCUGACCUGGUGAUUUCCUGGCACCAUCUGUUUCCUAAUGCCAGCUCUGGCUGCUGCUGUGCCCUCUUUGAACUCUGCGCUCCUCUCCCUGGUCUCACUGGCAAAAUAUUAAUGAGGAAUUGCUUGAAUUUUACUGCUUUAUACAGCUCUGUGGACUACUUGUCUGGUCUGAAGGAAUGAACAUUUGGGAACAGUGCCCUUGGCAUUUACCAGAGCAGAAAGAAGGAAUGGUCUGUGCCCAAAGAUCCAGAAUAUGGGAAGAAGAACAUGCAAACAUUACAGAGGACAAACAGUACCCUGCUUCUUUCCCAGCCAAAGCUCUGGGGAUGUGCAAAAGGCAGAAGAGGGAAGCAAUAUAAAAAUGUAAAUAGAAGUUAGUUAAAACUGGCUGUAUUUUAAAAAUUACUCUUCACUUAUUCAGGGCUGUUCUAUAUAACUACAUCCUAUGAUAUUCUUGUGCAAAGAAUAACUUUAUGACUAUUACCUAAAUAACAGAUUUAUGCCAUGGAAGACAAAACUGAUCCAUAAAAGUUUCAACUUAUUUUCUGGGAAAAUCCAGCAUUUUUAUAAAAACAUUGUAGUUUCAUAUAAACAUUAAUUUAAAACAAGCACUGGCAAAAAGACGGGGGAGAGGAGGAAGCUUACUUUAUAAAACUCCUUGAAAGGUUUACUUAAGAAAUACUUUUGAGGGACUAUUUUAAACCUAAAAUUGUGCUUAGAGGCAAGGAGGAUCAUUCUGCUACAGAAGAAAAGGGGCUUGCCAAGGGCAUAAUUUAUUUACUCAGAAAGAUAAAGCUUAACAAGUUUAAUGGACUGGUUGAAUUUUCACAUAAAGAAAAUAGAGGGAGACAAUGCUCUCAAGUAAAGCGGGAAGAUUUUGGCAUUCCUUUUAAGAAUAGGAGUGUAACUGUAGCUGAGGUACUUGUCCAAAGUGUGUCAAAGAGCAUUCAGUGGAUUCCCAGAGAGGUUUUCAGGGGCAUUUUAAAAAGAGGGUUAAAGAGAAAAUAGCACAGAAUGAGCUAUUAAGGUUUACGAUGUGAGCCAGAUUUUCAAAGGACUUCACAGACUGGAGUCAAAGGCGGCCUAAAUGAGACAGGGCUUGAAAGUUAGGCUCCAGAAAGGGAAUUCGUGGUGCUGAAUCUGCCUCUGAUGACCAAUUUGUAUCGACUGGGGAAAGUCAUAAAUCAGAGGAGGAGAUUUGCAGCACUCAGAUGCUGAAUGGCGAGAAGCAUAAGCCAUCCAGGCAGUAGUCCAGCUAUCAGGAUCAGGACGAGGAAUGGUGGAGAGCUCCCUUCAAAUCUGCUCUAUCUUAUCCAAAUCAAGCAAGUGAGCUAUUUCUGGGGGGAGCUUCACUUUCAGUUAUUGACCACUUUGCUAUGAAAUGCAGCUUAACCAGAAAGUCUUUGCUGUACUCCAUUUUGGAUCCCUCAAAAUGCUGGGAACAUUUCAGCCUUUCUAUGGUUCCUUGUUAGCAGGGUUUUGUGCCAUACAGAAAUAAAGGCAUCACUGAUGUCA